UGGUGAGUGAAACAGCUGUGGUUAAACGACAAAAGACAGAAGAAGUGAAAUACAUGUAUCAAAAACUACAAGGUGCUCCUGCUUCCUUUGACUGGAGAAAAAGGGGAGCAGUUCCACCAGUUACAAAUCAAGGCAGGGAUGCUACUGCAUAUGCAGUUAUAGACAGCUUAUAUGGUUACUUCAAAAUCAAUACUGGCCAUGCGGUUGCCCUGAGUGUCCAAGAGACUUCUGACUGUUGCACAAGAGGACACCCAAUGGGGAAUCCCUUUGCUUGCAUUAAGAAGCUGGGUGGACUAUGCUCAGAGGCAGACGUACUAUCCUUAUAAUGCUUCUAGUGGAGUAUGUCACAGCUCUUCUUGCCACCCUGCUGCACAGAUCAAAGGAUCAAGAUCAGUUUUGCGAGGCAAUGAGACAGACCUUCUGCUUGCUGUUCUUCAAAAUCCUGUGGUGGUGAUGGUUGAUGCUAACCAUGCUUCAUUCAUGCUUUACAGGAGUGGGGUGUUUGUAGAGCCAGCAUGCAGUCGUAUACGAUUGGACCAUGCUCUCCUGUUGGUUGGGUAUGGGAGUAUGUCUGGGAAGGAUUACUGGAUCUGUAAGAACAACUGGGGAACAACUUGGGGAAUGGACGGUUAUAUCUUGAUAGCCAGAAAUGUAGGCAACAUGUGUGGGAUAGCCACAGCAGCCAGUCUGCCUAUUUACAGACAGUAGCAGAGUCCCGUUUCAGAAUGUUUUAACAUUAAAAAUAGAAACCAUCUUCAGAAAACCUGCUUUGAAUCUUAGCCAACUGAGUAGCGCUUCACAAUGAAUAUUGCAGCCAUGUUACUUCAAUUUUAGUUAUGCAACUAGCAAGCCUUUAUUAUCUUACACUGGUUUUACUGACAAUGGCCUUUUUAGAUAUAUUGACUACAAUUAUUGUUAGCACAUCUUUUCAGCAGCCUUAUUUGAUAAAUUGUCCAACUCAAUGUUGUUGACUGUUAAAGUUUGUCAGUCUUUGCCAAGCUCAAAAACUUCAAUACU
Lingula anatina is the source of this 1017-nucleotide long non-coding RNA. Lineage: Eukaryota; Metazoa; Brachiopoda; Lingulata; Lingulida; Lingulidae. The record is from RefSeq and is a predicted model, not a curated record.